Tyto alba (common barn owl) is the source of this 501-nucleotide long non-coding RNA. RefSeq lists it as uncharacterized. The transcript is spliced from 3 exons. The record is from RefSeq and is a predicted model, not a curated record. Lineage: Eukaryota; Metazoa; Chordata; Aves; Strigiformes; Tytonidae.
CUGUGUCUGCAACCUGUUUCUUAAGCUGUCUUAAAAAAACAAAAUACCCACUUUGGUUAAUACAAAGAAGCUAGAAGGAACAGGCUGAAAGUUAACACCCCAAAACAUAGUCAACUGAAGAGGAGAAAUGAGAGGUACAGAGUGUGCCACAGUCAAAACACCACUUCCAGCAAGAAGAACAGAGGAAUAAAAACUAAUAAGGAGGUACAACUGACAUUCAGGCUCCCUCUCAUCAAGAUCCUUCAGCGAUUUUGCUACUUCAAACCCUACAAGAGAACAGAUGUGCUUCCCUGAGAUCUCUAAGUGCUGGGCAGAGUUGGAGGGAAGGACCUUCUGUUUCUGGGGCCAUGCUUUUGAUUGCGUGUUAAUCACCUGGCCUGCACUUGUUUGAAGAGAAAAGAUGAAGGGGAGGAUGAAUAAAACAUUGUUAUUUUGUCAUGUGAAAUGGCUUGAGGUAAUUUUAACGUUUGGUUUCUUGCCCAUCACGGAAGCAUUCAUGAA